UAUGACAGUGAAGAGUUUGAUCCUGGCUCAGGAUGAACGCUAGCGAUAGGCUUAACACAUGCAAGUCGAGGGGCAGCAUGAACUUAGCUUGCUAAGUUUGAUGGCGACCGGCGCACGGGUGCGUAACGCGUAUGCAACUUGCCUCGUAGAGGGGGAUAACCCGUUGAAAGACGGACUAAUACCGCGUAUGCUCACAAGGUCGCAUGAUCAUGUGAGGAAAGAAUUUUGCUACGAGAUAGGCAUGCGUCCCAUUAGCUAGUUGGUGAGGUAACGGCUCACCAAGGCAACGAUGGGUAGGGGAACUGAGAGGUUGAACCCCCACACUGGUACUGAGACACGGACCAGACUCCUACGGGAGGCAGCAGUGAGGAAUAUUGGUCAAUGGGCGGGAGCCUGAACCAGCCAAGUCGCGUGAAGGAUGAAGGUCUUAUGGAUUGUAAACUUCUUUUAUAGGGGAAUAACGGCUAGCACGUGUGCUAGAUUGAAUGUACCCUAUGAAUAAGCAUCGGCUAACUCCGUGCCAGCAGCCGCGGUAAUACGGAGGAUGCGAGCGUUAUCCGGAUUUAUUGGGUUUAAAGGGUGCGUAGGUGGCUUGUUAAGUCAGCGGUGAAAGGUUCGAGCUCAACUUGGACAUUGCCGUUGAAACUGGCGAGCUUGAGUGUAGAUGAGGUAGGCGGAAUGCAUGGUGUAGCGGUGAAAUGCUUAGAUAUCAUGCAGAACUCCGAUUGCGAAGGCAGCUUACUAAGGUACAACUGACACUGAAGCACGAAAGCGUGGGUAUCAAACAGGAUUAGAUACCCUGGUAGUCCACGCAGUAAACGAUGAUUACUGGGCGUAUGCGAUAUACAGUAUGCUCCUGAGCGAAAGCGUUAAGUAAUCCACCUGGGGAGUACGCCGGCAACGGUGAAACUCAAAGGAAUUGACGGGGGCCCGCACAAGCGGAGGAACAUGUGGUUUAAUUCGAUGAUACGCGAGGAACCUUACCCGGGAUUGAAAUGUAGAUGACAUAUGGUGAAAGCCGUUUUCCCUUCGGGGCAUCUAUGUAGGUGCUGCAUGGUUGUCGUCAGCUCGUGCCGUGAGGUGUCGGCUUAAGUGCCAUAACGAGCGCAACCCCUGUCCUUGGUUGCCAUCAGGUAAUGCUGGGAACUCCGAGGAGACUGCCGUCGUAAGGCGUGAGGAAGGUGGGGAUGACGUCAAAUCAGCACGGCCCUUACAUCCGGGGCGACACACGUGUUACAAUGGGGAGGACAAAGGGCAGCUACUGGGCGACCAGAUGCGAAUCUCUAAACCUCUUCACAGUUCGGAUUGGAGUCUGCAACUCGACUCCAUGAAGCUGGAUUCGCUAGUAAUCGCGCAUCAGCCAUGGCGCGGUGAAUACGUUCCCGGGCCUUGUACACACCGCCCGUCAAGCCAUGGGAGUCUGGAGUACCUAAAGUCCGUAACCGCGAGGGUCGGCCUAGGGUAAUACAGGUGACUGGGGCUAAGUCGUAACAAGGUAGCCGUACCGGAAGGUGCGGCUGGAACACCUCCUUUCUGGA
RNAcentral lists this ribosomal RNA (1538 nucleotides) under Porphyromonas sp. COT-290 OH3588. RNAcentral describes it as "bacterial SSU rRNA". It matches the Rfam family "Bacterial small subunit ribosomal RNA". Lineage: Bacteria; Pseudomonadati; Bacteroidota; Bacteroidia; Bacteroidales; Porphyromonadaceae. The record is from RNAcentral.